RNAcentral lists this ribosomal RNA (200 nucleotides) under uncultured bacterium. RNAcentral describes it as "partial 16S ribosomal RNA". It matches the Rfam family "Bacterial small subunit ribosomal RNA", at positions 8 to 238 of the family's 1533-position model. The record is from RNAcentral.
AGAGUUUGAUCCUGGCUCAGAGCGAACGCUGGCGGCAGGCCUAACACAUGCAAGUCGAACGCGUCCUUCGGGACGAGUGGCGGACGGGUGAGUAACACGUGGGAACGUGCCCUUUGGUUCGGAAUAACUCAGGGAAACUUGAGCUAAUACCGGAUGAGCUGCGGGGGAAAGAUUUAUCGCCGAAGGAGCGGCCCGCGUCU